UCCCUCUUUAAGGUGGCGGUGAAAUGUGCUUUUUCCCAACAUUUUAAUAUUCAUAUCACAGCCAGCUUUGAGGAGCGAUA
RNAcentral lists this microRNA precursor (80 nucleotides) under Lucilia cuprina (Australian sheep blowfly). Its description in RNAcentral is "mir-2 microRNA precursor". It matches the Rfam family "mir-2 microRNA precursor family". Rfam says of the family: The miRNAs are transcribed as ~70nt precursors (modelled here) and subsequently processed by the Dicer enzyme to give a ~22nt product. Lineage: Eukaryota; Metazoa; Arthropoda; Insecta; Diptera; Calliphoridae. The record is from Rfam by way of RNAcentral.